Molecule: ribosomal RNA, 117 nt
Organism: Sinocyclocheilus grahami
Lineage: Eukaryota; Metazoa; Chordata; Actinopteri; Cypriniformes; Cyprinidae
Source: Ensembl
ACCGGCAGCCAUAUCACCCUGUAGCCCAAGCCUGGUUGCCCACUGAAGCUAAGCAGGGCUGAGCCUGGUCAGUACCUGGAUGGGAGACCUCCUUGGAAAACAAGGUUGCUGCUGGAA